GUAGGUGGCAAGCGUUGUCCGGAAUUAUUGGGCGUAAAGCGCGCGCAGGCGGUUCUUUAAGUCUGAUGUGAAAGCCCACGGGCUCAACCGUGGAGGGUCAUUGGAAACUGGAGAACUUGAGUACAAAAGAGGAAAGCGGAAUUCCACGUGUAGCGGUGAAAUGCGUAGAGAUGUGGAGGAACACCAGUGGCGAAGGCGGCUUUCUGGUCUGUAACUGACGCUGAGGCGCGAAAGCGUGGGGAGCAAACAGGAUUAGAUACCCUGGUAGUCCACGCCGUAAACGAUGAGUGCUAAGUGUUAGGGGGUUUCCGCCCCUUAGUGCUGCAGCUAACGCAUUAAGCACUCCGCCUGGGGAGUACGGCCGCAAAGGCUG
Molecule: ribosomal RNA, 373 nt
Filed under: uncultured organism
Description: partial 16S ribosomal RNA
Rfam family: Bacterial small subunit ribosomal RNA
Source: RNAcentral